AGAGUUUGAUCAUGGCUCAGGAUGAACGCUGGCGGCGUGCUUAACACAUGCAAGUCGAACGGACCUGUACUGAAACCUAGUGAUUUACAGGUUAGUGGCGGACGGGUGAGUAACGCGUGGAAAACCUGCCGUAUACUGGGGGAUAACACUUAGAAAUAGGUGCUAAUACCGCAUAAGCGCACAGGCCCGCAUGGGACAGUGUGAAAAACUCCGGUGGUAUACGAUGGUUCCGCGUCUGAUUAGCUUGUUGGCGGGGUAACGGCCCACCAAGGCGACGAUCAGUAGCCGGCCUGAGAGGGUGAACGGCCACAUUGGGACUGAGACACGGCCCAGACUCCUACGGGAGGCAGCAGUGGGGAAUAUUGCACAAUGGGGGAAACCCUGAUGCAGCGACGCCGCGUGAGUGAAGAAGUAUCUCGGUACGUAAAGCUCUAUCAGCAGGGAAGAAAAAAAGUCUUUGGCUUUGGACGGUACCUGACUAAGAAGCCCCGGCUAACUACGUGCCAGCAGCCGCGGUAAUACGUAGGGGGCAAGCGUUAUCCGGAUUUACUGGGUGUAAAGGGAGCGUANACGGCAGCGCAAGUCUGGAGUGAAAUGCCGGGGCUCAACCCCGGAACUGCUUUGGAAACUGUGCAGCUAGAGUGCGGGAAAAGCA
Molecule: ribosomal RNA, 655 nt
Filed under: uncultured bacterium
Lineage: Bacteria
Description: bacterial SSU rRNA
Rfam family: Bacterial small subunit ribosomal RNA
Source: RNAcentral